RNAcentral lists this long non-coding RNA (4916 nucleotides) under Olea europaea subsp. europaea. The record is from RNAcentral. Lineage: Eukaryota; Viridiplantae; Streptophyta; Magnoliopsida; Lamiales; Oleaceae.
GGUUCCUCCCGAUGGUAGGCGCCCUUUACAGCCUUGUUCUGCAUCCCUCUCCAAAUGGCCUCUUCGAGAGUAAUUUCCAGAUUAUACUCUAGAUUACAAACUGUUGCUGCAAAACUCAACAAGAAUUCCUCAACCUCUAUCCAAUCUUCACCCUUCAAAAGUGCCUCUGAAUCCUCUGUCAAUAAGCGCUUCUCUAUCGUCUCAAGGUGAACAAAUACUCGCAAAAUCUGCAUCAGCCGCAUCCUCACUUAUGUCAUCUUCUGUCUAUAUGUUUGUAUUUAUUAAUGUAUAAUGCAUUUUGCAAGUGGGUUUUAGGUUACCCGUGGAAUUGAGUUGCGUGGAGACGAUGAUACCUUUGCACAGUGCAAUAGCAUCUGCUCGUUUGAAGUCAAGCUUGUCGAUUGAGUCGCAGAAAUGGGAUUUAGUUCCUCAAGGUUUGCUUUAGUUAAAUACUUGUACUAAUUCUAGUUGUUGCCCAUUCCAUUUCCAUUUGGACAUUACUUAUUUGAUUUUUGAAACUCAGUUUUUGCAAUCUAUUGAUUUGCUUGACUGCAUUUGAUAUGACCAAAUUUGUCAUAAAUGCCUGCCAAGUGACAUGUGAAUAGUUAAUAUGGAGCUAGUAAUUGAGUAUUGUGUGGCUUAAUAGUAAUGUCCCUAAUUGUUAAUAUAUGCAGUCAUGGUGUUAAAAGUUACAUUAGUUUUAUUGUCGAUUUACCAGCAGGCAGCAGUCCUUUAUUACUUGGAGUUUUUGAUGUUGAAAUUUGCUUAGAAUUCUUUGAAAGUAUACAUUUAUGUAUCAAAUAUUAUGUAUCAAAUAUUCAUUGUUAUAAUUUUUAAAUUUCCUUUAUAAAAUUAUUUUUUGUUUUCAGAUUUGAUUUUGUGUCAAAUAUUCAUUUUUAUAAUUUUAAAAUUUCCUUAAUAAAAUUAUCAGAUUUGAUUUUGAAUUUUGCAGAGAAUAUCUUUUUGAGUUUGAAGAAUGGCUACUUGUUAUAUCAUGAUAACUUUUGGCUGUACUUUGUUUUAAUAAUAAUAUGAAAUAAAGUACUAAUGUAUCAAAAACUGUUUAUUGUAAAUGUAAAUUCUUUUGACAUGGAAAUAGUACAUUUUUUCUCACAAUAUUAUGACUUUUUACGGAAAUGUUAUAAUAAUUAAAAAUUUCUAGUUUUAUAUUCCAAGACCUAAAAUGGGGGUUGUCGUUCAAAGGAACUCCCCACAAAACAGUGUCGGAAAUUCAAAAAUAAAAAUACAGAGGAUUAGGGAUGUAUCCGAGGUUUGUUGGGGAAGAUUUCCUUGCAUGACAGAAAUUAAAGAAAACAUAUAAAAAAAUAGACUUUUUGAGAAAUGUCGGUGUUUGAUAAUUAUCAUAUACCGGUACUCCUUCACCUUAGGAGUUUAGUGUUCCAUGUUUCAUAGUGUGGAAUCAUUAUAGGACCCUUGCAUUGCGCUUGAAGGUUACCUAUUGGGCAUCUAGGAAUAAAUAUGGACAAAUAAUUGUUGACUGAAGCACCAGAAUUGAAGUUUAGUGACUUGAAUCUUAUAUUCCUUUUCAAUAUUAUUUGGUUCUGAACUCUUGCUUUUUGCCUAUUUUAUGAAGAAGUAGAUAUAGGACUUAUCACUUGAGGGAGAAAAAAAAAUCAAGAGGUAGGAAAAGUUACUCUUACUUGGUAGAUAUAGGAGUAGAAUGCUUUAUCUUCAUUUUGGGAGAAUGGUUUGUGGUUUUCGUCUAGCUCUCAGUGGUGGAUGUGGAUUGGUUUCAAACGUGAUUGUUGCUCCAACCUCCAAAUUUAAAAUUAUAUUUGAGGUUCUUGUUUUUGUAGAAUCAAUGAUAGUAGUACCAGUUAUCAUAAUAACUUCUUACCCUUUUUGUGCUUUGACUAACAGCAUGUUUGGAAAUGAAGUUGAGUUUGCCAAACAAGUAAAGAAGGUGGAAGGAGAGGCAGAGGUUGGAGGAUUCCUCUCACGUGGAGGAAGGAGUUUGGUGGAGAAGGGAAAGAUGGUGAAAAACUAAAAUGGGUGGGGUAAUGGGAGAAGCCGGUAGAACAAUGGGAGAAGACAGCUGAGUCCUGGAGGUGACGACAAGCUGGGGCAGGGGUAGGCGGGUAGAAGAUAGAGAAUGUGGAUAAGAUGUUGCAAUGGAUGGUAACUUAAAAUAUGGAUAAAUGUUGGGAGUAAUUUGGUCUUUUACUACAUUGCUACUAUGGCGGCUUUUCUUUGUACGAAACAUAUUGUGUCAAGUCGGACACCGACACUCCUCGGACGCGCGAUGACAUGGGUCCGACAAGCUACAUGUUGUGUCUCAUUUUUUUGUAUAUUUUUUAAAAUUUCUAUUGCUCAAGGAUAUUUUGCGAACAUUCCCCGAACAAUUGUUCAACAUGACAUGUGCUAAGUAUUGUAUUAAAAAAGAUAAUAGGAUAUAAAUUUAAAACUUUAAAUAAUUUAAAUCGACGUGUCCAUAAUGUAUCUGUCCUACUUUUUAGUGAAAUCACAUGUCACAGUGCCCGUGUACAUGUUUGUGAACUUAAGUCUUUUACUUGGUCAAACCAUAAAAUAAGCUAGCAUCUUUUUUUGACAGUAAGGUUGAAAAUGCCCCUUUUUAACAGUUUUUAGCUCUUUCUGGCUUUAAUGGAAUCAGCUUAUUUUUAAGAUAAAGUAUGUUUGGUAAAAUAAGGUGCUUAAAAGCUAGUUUGACUUGCUUUUAAGCUUAGCCAUACUUGAUAUUAUUAAUUUUAUAACAUUGUGAAAAGGAAAAUACAAUGAGUCUCCUUUAUGGUGCUUACCUCAGAGUCGCAAUGAAGUUUUGAUUAUAUUUAGGGCUAGACUGACUUGAUAAAACGCAAUCAUUAGUUUGUUCUAUGAUAAAUACUCCAUCUUGUCUCGUUUUAAGAACCCUGAUGUUGGAGCUGGACUUCAAGGAGAUUAAAUAUAAUGCACGUCUGCUUGUGUGGAACAUAGGAUUCUUAAUUUGCUAUUAAAUAUUCACCUAAAAUAAAUGGUUUAAAUGUUCAAAAACCUGUUCAAAUGGGAAAGUCCUUUAGUCAAGAACAUAUUUAGGACAGAGGACUUUCAUUUUGUGUAAUCUCAAGAUUGAUAAAAGAACACCCUGUUCGGGACAAUGGUGGUCAUACGCGUGUGAAUAUAUAUCUCUGGUACUUGUCUUACUGAGUAAUUGAUGACCGCUUUCUUAACAAAAAAGCCCUCUCAAUCACAAAAAAAUGAUACCAUUCAAUGAAAAUGUAUUAAUAUUCUUCUCUUUCACGAAGGACUCUCUAGGGAUGUGAUUAGGGAUAAAGUAACAUCAAAACCACAAUUGAUCAGUUCAUACCUUUCUUUGAUCCUCCAGCAAAGCAGAGACCAGCUCUGCGACUCCAACUAGAACUCAACCACAUCUGUGUUAAACUUUGUUCACCCUCGCCAUUUUGUCCCCAAAUUGUACCACCGCACCAGAUCGUUGCUUUCAUUGGCCAGUCACCAAACAUAAUCAUUGCUGCAACCUAAAUCAUGAGCAGUAGCCUCCAUGAUUAGAGCAUCACAACCUCAACAAUCCGACUUCUUUCCCAUAGCUUCAACGUGUCUGUCAAUAAAGUGAUAUUACAGCCAAACUGUUGAAGCAAUGCUAUGGAGAACUAAAAAAAUAUCAAUAUACAGAUAAAGAGGAUACUUGACAUGCACAAAAUAUUAAAGAUAAUGAUCUUAAUGCUUCAUUGAAGUUGCUCCUUCCAUCUUUCCUUCAUUUACUCUUUUGGCAAUGAAUUUAUUAUUUUAUUUACAAUCAGGGGUAUACUUUGAUAAUCAAGUAAGCCCCUGUUUGAGCUCCAUUUAUUUGAAAAUGCAUUUUUCUCUUUUUUUCUUUUCAACCACACAUUCUCCAAUAAAAUAAUAUUACAUAUAAACUCAACACUUUUCCUUCCUUUUUGACCAUACAUUCUUCAAAAAAUCACUCUUCCAAAAUAUAUUUUUCCCAAAAUUUGAUUGUAAUGGAGCCUAGACAAGGGCUAAAUAUCUUCUGCUUUGAUGGACCGUGAUAAUGGACGAGGGGUUUAAGGGGGUUAGACUGAUGAGGGUAAUGUGUAUGAAUCGAUAAACACACGAUCAAGCACGCAAAACCUUCUAGCUUCCUGUUCAUACGUUUAAGAAUAGCAGAAGACUAGGUAACCAAAACUCGUUGAUUCACAGAAUACUGAAGUUGGAAUGAUAAUUGAGAGAGAAGUCUCAAAGUUUAUUAUUUAAUCAAUCUGCAACGCUCUUCUUACAAAUGAUCCUAGGCAGCUAACUUGUACAAUGCCAUAAAAAUACUUGUGCAAGAAAAAAAAUCUGAAAAUUACCAUAAAAAUUCAAAUAAAAAAAUAUUAUUUAACAUAUAUAUCCUUCUACCAUUUGGUCGUAACAUAAGAGUUAACCUAACUAUAUGUGCAGAUGACAAAUUCAUUAUGUAUCACUUGUACUGACUCCAAACUUCUGUUAUUAAUGCUUUUUUUUCAUAAUUUUGCAGGCAUCUCAAUGCCUUUAUAACAGCAUUUCAGGUCCGGUCAUUGUGGGGCUCAUUUCCGAUGGAUAAGAAUUUAGGUUACAGUUCUCUUUGCUGACUUACAAUGCUCCAAAACCUUCAAAUGUUUUUGUGAACUUAUAAUAACAUGUGCCUGGAUGGAGGUUGCUUAUUUAUCUUGUUAAUUUCUACAUUUGUCUGUUUUAUAUUUUUGUAUUACGAAUUCCCUCCAAGAAGUUACAGUGAAGGUUAGCGUGGAAAAAAUUGUGGAAUUACUUUAUGUUGCUUCAAAAUGCUGUUAUUAUUAAUGAUGUUAUCAGGACCUUUACUCUAUAGAAAUCUGUGGUAGCUCAACUGCAUGCCAAUAAGGCCUAUCUUUGCUCAUUUGUUGUCACUAACAGUGUCAUUAACUGACUUAUGAUGUAAAAUCUAU